RNAcentral lists this long non-coding RNA (1419 nucleotides) under Homo sapiens (human). Its description in RNAcentral is "non-protein coding lnc-BLOC1S3-1:1". Lineage: Eukaryota; Metazoa; Chordata; Mammalia; Primates; Hominidae. The record is from RNAcentral.
ACUGCAAUCUCUGCCUCUUGGGUUCAAGCGAUUCUCCUGCCUCAGCCUCCUAAGUAGCUGGGAUUACAGGCGUGCGCCACCAUUCCCAGCUAAUUUUUGUAUUUUUAGUAGAGACGGGGUUUCACCAUGUUGGUGAGGCUGGUCUCGAACUCCUGACCUCGUGAUCCGCCUGCCUAAGCUUCCCAAAGUGCUGGGAUUACAGGCAUGAGCCACCGCGCCCAGCCUCAAGUUGAUUUAGGGUCCCAGAGCACUUUGGCCCGCAGUGGCUAGGCAUGCCAGAACUCAGGUUCUCACCACUAGAAUAGAUGAUUUCCCUCUGUCUAAUGAUCAUUUAAAUGCUCCCUCCAUGGGUGGUGUCUGAUUUCUGCCCCAUGGUGCUUUCCACUGUAAUAGAACAGCGCUGAGUUCCAAUGCAAAGCCUCAAAUCAGUCACUGAGCUCUCCCUACCCCAAAUGCACAGAUUCUCUCUCCUUGCCAUCUGACUGCUGCCAGGAGAUGUGGGAGGGGUGGCAUUUUGGGGUAGCACCUCACCCCAAAAGCCCAUUGGCUUAAAAUAGCAGUCCCAUCCCAAAAUCUCAAACCACCCCAAAAGCUCAUUGGCUUAAAAUAGCAGUCAAAUAUGACAUCUCAUGGUUCAGUAGGUUAAGUGGGUUUAACCAGUCGAUUCUUUUUUUUUUGAGAUGGAGUCUCACUAUGUCGCCCAGGCUGGAGUGCAGUGGCACCAUCUUGGCUCACCAUCUUUGCUCACCGCAACCUCUGCCUCCCGGGCCACCUCACCCGGCCACUUUUUUUUUUUUCUUUUUUAAUGAGACAAGGUCUCACCUAUCAUCUAGGCUACAACGCAGAGGCACAAUCACAGCCAACUGCAACCUUGAACACCUGGCUUCAGGCGAUCCUCCCACCUCUGUGUCCCAAACUGCUGUGUGAGCCACUGUGCCCAGCCAAAAGCUGUUUUUCAAUGGAGGACCAACAUCUGAAAAGUACAUUGACAAACUGAGGCUCUUAUAUGUUUAAUUCAACGCCUACAGGGCAGUGGCAGUGGCUCACGCCUGUAAUCCCAGCACUUUGGGAGGAUGAGGCAGGAGGAUGGCUUGAGGCCAACCUGGUCAACAUAGUGAGACUCUGUCUUUACAAAACAAAUAAAAUAUUAGCUGGGUGUGCUGGCACGAGCCUGUAGUCCCAGCUACUCAGAAGGCUGAGGUGGGAGGAUCACUUGGGCUAGGAGGUAGAGGCUGCAGUGAGCUAUGAUCGUGUCAUUGCACUCCAGCCUGGGCAACAGAGCAAAGACCCUGUCUCUAAAAAAUAAAUAAUAAAUGUCUAUGGACUGCACAAUAUUGUUGAUUCCUCAACUCCUCUCUUGCUCUUUUGCAUAUUGGCAACAUAAAAAGUGUCAUUUUCGGGCUGGGCACAGUGGCUCAU